Sphaerodactylus townsendi is the source of this 1026-nucleotide long non-coding RNA. RefSeq lists it as uncharacterized. The record is from RefSeq and is a predicted model, not a curated record. Lineage: Eukaryota; Metazoa; Chordata; Lepidosauria; Squamata; Sphaerodactylidae. The transcript has 2 exons.
AUGUCAAAACACGCUCAGGGCUCCAGCAAGCCCAGCCCCACAGAAGAGACCCCAGAGGGGUCCUUCUCCACCCAGAGCGACCUCCCGGCCAUAGGGCAGAUCCUGAUGGGAAUUCAGGCCCUUUCCCCGUCCCCUUUUCUCUCCUGAGGCCUGAGCGGCUCUCCCAUGUUGGCCCCACUCACAACACAGAGCAGGAGCUUUGGCAGCUCAAGCAGGAGAUGGGUGGAAGAGUUUGAGGCAACUUAGUUGGCUCCUACUCACACUGGGAGGGGGGAGAACAGUGUCCGGAUCGCCUCUUCCCCUGACGGGCUUCUGCAGAUGUGAGCCGUGGAUUCUUCUGGCAAAAGGGUCAUUUUUGAACAAAUCUUUACGAAGUUCCACAUCUCAGCCUCGUGGCCUGUCAAUGUAAAGCCAAGACUUCAAUGGCCGGGAAAUGCAGGAAGAAAAAGAACUGCUUCACGUUGGUUUUCCUCGGGAUUAAGAAGGCGGCUGAAUGAAAGGAACCGUGUCCUACGCUUUGUGUCUCUCUGACCACUGCAAGCAAACCCCACCCCAUAUCUCCCCUCAUUCCACAAGGAGCAAAACCCAGUCUGCAGAUUUUGUGCCACGCGUCACACUUCGAAUUUUGAUCAGAGCAGACCUGUCCCUAGUGUUAUACCUGGGCUACAGGUCCAUCUCUUCCUUAUCUAACUGUGAAUUUUGCUCAGAGCAGAGCGGUCCCUAGUUUUACACCUGGGCUACAGGCCCGUGUAUUCCUUAUUGAACUGUGAAUUUUGCUCACAGCAGAGCGCUCCCUAGUUUUAUACCUGGCCAACAGGCCCAUCUAUUCCUUAUUGAAUAACUGCGAUGUUAUGUUUUGUGAAGCGAUAGCAAUUUUUUUAACAGAGCCGAUGGAGCUAAUGAAAUAGUGUUGCAUUUAUGGGUCAUGUACUACUUGAAAUCUUUUUGUGUUGUUUCUAUAUUAUUUGUAUUUUAUAUAGAUUUUAUCUGUAAGUUUCAGUAUGCCGAUAAAGGUUUUGAAGCGGG